Molecule: non-coding RNA, 24 nt
Filed under: Arabidopsis thaliana (thale cress)
Lineage: Eukaryota; Viridiplantae; Streptophyta; Magnoliopsida; Brassicales; Brassicaceae
Source: RNAcentral
ACACUUAUUUACAAUGGCAUGCCA